Long non-coding RNA from Ornithodoros turicata, 395 nucleotides. RefSeq lists it as uncharacterized. Lineage: Eukaryota; Metazoa; Arthropoda; Arachnida; Ixodida; Argasidae. The transcript has 3 exons. The record is from RefSeq and is a predicted model, not a curated record.
UUUGUCAUUCGUAUAAUUCUGGGCGCCGACGCAAAAGAUUCUUCCAGGCCUUAGAUUCAACUCCAUUGACGACACCGAUAAGACAUGCUGCAUCGAUGCUUAAUUCUACUCUUCGUGGUUAUGGCUCAGAUAUGGAAGUAUGGAGAGUGCACCCCGGCGUACUGUAACUUCCCAAUGCACCGCGGAAGAUGCUUUGCGGCGGUGCCCAAGUAUUAUUGGGACAAACAGAGCAAGAGCUGCAGACGCUUCUACUUCCAGGGCUUGUAUGGCAACAGGAACCAGUUCGACACGUAUAAGGACUGCAUGGACGCCUGCAAGACAGGGUCGGACUAUGUUUGAAAAUAAAGACACGACACUUCAUGUGGAGUUAGACAAUAAAAGAUACGGACUGUGCA